GUGGGGAAUAUUGGACAAUGGGCGAAAGCCUGAUCCAGCCAUGCCGCGUGUGUGAAGAAGGUCUUCGGAUUGUAAAGCACUUUAAGUUGGGAGGAAGGGCAGUAAGUUAAUACCUUGCUGUUUUGACGUUACCGACAGAAUAAGCACCGGCUAACUUCGUGCCAGCAGCCGCGGUAAUACGAAGGGUGCAAGCGUUAAUCGGAAUUACUGGGCGUAAAGCGCGCGUAGGUGGGUUUGUAAGUUGGAGGUGACAUCCCCGGGCUCAACCUGGGAACUGCCUCCAAAACUGCAUGACUAGAGUACGGUAGAGGGUAGUGGAAUUUCCUGUGUAGCGGUGAAAUGCGUAGAUAUAGGAAGGAACACCAGUGGCGAAGGCGACUACCUGGACUGAUACUGACACUGAGGUGCGAAAGCGUGGGGAGCAAACAGGAUUAGAUACCCCUGUAGUCC
This 450-nucleotide ribosomal RNA is filed under the name uncultured bacterium. Its description in RNAcentral is "partial 16S ribosomal RNA". It matches the Rfam family "Bacterial small subunit ribosomal RNA", at positions 354 to 796 of the family's 1533-position model. The record is from RNAcentral.